AGAUUGAACGCUGGCGGCAGGCCUAACACAUGCAAGUCGAACGGUAACAGGAAGCAGCUUGCUGCUUCGCUGACGAGUGGCGGACGGGUGAGUAAUGUCUGGGAAACUGCCUGAUGGAGGGGGAUAACUACUGGAAACGGUAGCUAAUACCGCAUAACGUCGCAAGACCAAAGAGGGGGACCUUCGGGCCUCUUGCCAUCGGAUGUGCCCAGAUGGGAUUAGCUUGUUGGUGGGGUAACGGCUCACCAAGGCGACGAUCCCUAGCUGGUCUGAGAGGAUGACCAGCCACACUGGAACUGAGACACGGUCCAGACUCCUACGGGAGGCAGCAGUGGGGAAUAUUGCACAAUGGGCGCAAGCCUGAUGCAGCCAUGCCGCGUGUAUGAAGAAGGCCUUCGGGUUGUAAAGUACUUUCAGCGGGAGGAAGGGAGUAAAGUUAAUACCUUUGCUCAUUGACGUUACCCGCAGAAGAAGCACC
This 478-nucleotide ribosomal RNA is filed under the name Escherichia coli MS 119-7. RNAcentral's name for it is "bacterial SSU rRNA". It matches the Rfam family "Bacterial small subunit ribosomal RNA", at positions 26 to 494 of the family's 1533-position model. The record is from RNAcentral. Lineage: Bacteria; Pseudomonadati; Pseudomonadota; Gammaproteobacteria; Enterobacterales; Enterobacteriaceae.